CGUGCCGGGGCGGGGCGUAGUAGGGACUGGGCCUGGCCUAGGGCGUCCUCGCGAAGCCUGGACCUGUCAGGCGGUGCCGUCCGGGUCUCGGCCACCGUCGAGUUCCAUCGAGUUCUGUCCCGGCCCUGCUCACAGCAGCGCCCUCCGAGCGCCCAGCACCUGCGGCCGGCCCAGGCAGCGCGAUCCUGCGGCGGCUGGCCAUCCCGGAUGCUAUGGCCGCCGUCGCCGUCUUGCGGGCUUUCGGGGCAAGGGGGCCCAUGUGUCUCCGGCGCGGCCCCUGGGCCCAGCUCCCCGCCCGCUUCUGCAGCCGGGACCCGGCCGGGGCGGGGCGGCGGGAGCCGGAGCCGCGGCCCACCAGCGCGCGGCAGCUGGACGGCAUAAGGAACAUUGUCUUGAGCAAUCCCAAGAAGAGGAACGCGUUGUCACUUGCAAUGCUCAAGUCUCUCCAAAGUGACAUUCUUCAUGACGCUGACAGCAACGAUCUGAAAGUCAUUAUCAUCUCGGCUGAGGGGCCUGUGUUUUCUUCUGGGCAUGAUUUAAAGGAGCUGACAGAGGAGCAAGGCCGUGAUUACCAUGCCGAAGUAUUUCAGACCUGUUCCAAGGGUCUCGCUCUGUCACCCAGGCUGGAUUACUGUGGCAUGGUCUCGGCUCACUGCAAUCUCUGCCUCCCGGGUUCAAGCAAUUCUUCUGCCUCAGCCUCCUGAGUAGCUGGGACUACAGGUCAUGAUGCUCAUCCGGAACCACCCCGUCCCCGUCAUUGCCAUGGUCAAUGGCCUGGCCACGGCUGCCGGCUGUCAACUGGUUGCCAGCUGCGACAUUGCCGUGGCGAGCGACAAGUCCUCUUUUGCCACUCCUGGGGUGAACGUCGGGCUCUUCUGUUCUACCCCUGGGGUUGCCUUGGCAAGAGCAGUGCCUAGAAAGGUGGCCUUGGAGAUGCUCUUUACUGGCGAGCCCAUUUCUGCCCAGGAGGCCCUGCUCCACGGGCUGCUUAGCAAGGUGGUGCCAGAGACGGAGCUGCAGGAGGAGACCAUGCGGAUAGCGAGGAAGAUUGCGUCACUGAGCCGCCCGGUGGUGUCCCUGGGCAAAGCCAUCUUCUACAAGCAGCUGCCCCAGGACCUGGGGACGGCUUACUACCUCACCUCCCAGGCCAUGGUGGACAACCUGGCCCUGCGGGACGGGCAGGAGGGCAUCACAGCCUUCCUCCAGAAGAGAAAACCCGUCUGGUCACACGAGCCAGUGUGAGUGGAGGCAGAGGAGUGCGGCCCACGGGCAACGCCCAGGAGCCCACCCUCCCCUCUGACCCCAGCCCCACCACUGCCUCUCAGCUUCAACAGGCGACAGACGAGCUGCUUUUGUGACUUGAUAUUGGUGUCACAGCAUUUGGCCUACAUUAAAAGCCACGAUUUCAUGGGGAAAGGACAAAAUGGAGAGUGACUGAGGUGCUGACCUCAGUGCAAGGCUGGUGAGCCCUGCAGCAGGCCAGCUAUGGCGGGAAGCCUGGCAUUUGGGGUGCUCCUUACAACGUCUUAAGCAAGCGACCCCCCUGACAUAGCAGAAGGUGGCAACCCAUGGAGGCAAGAAAGAAGGACGCCAGCCUGACCCUUAUCCAAAACGUCCUCCUAAGCGGAGUUAAUCCUGGCUGCUCAGGAGAGGUAACACAUUUCAAAUCUCCACGAGAUAUUCUCCACGCAGAAAAUCUUCUUGAUUCUAUAGAGACGUAAUCAUGCCUAUGGCUUUGAAUAAUCUUAUGUGAUUUAAAUAAAUUAAAUCUUUAUAGAGA
Molecule: small RNA, 1780 nt
Filed under: Pongo abelii (Sumatran orangutan)
Lineage: Eukaryota; Metazoa; Chordata; Mammalia; Primates; Hominidae
Description: processed transcript
Source: RNAcentral